Molecule: transfer RNA, 57 nt
Filed under: Vreelandella aquamarina
Lineage: Bacteria; Pseudomonadati; Pseudomonadota; Gammaproteobacteria; Oceanospirillales; Halomonadaceae
Description: tRNA_Arg_CCG
Rfam family: tRNA
About the family: Transfer RNA (tRNA) molecules are approximately 80 nucleotides in length. Their secondary structure includes four short double-helical elements and three loops (D, anti-codon, and T loops).
Source: RNAcentral
GCGACUGAAACCGGCCUCCGAAGCCGAAGGUCGCAGGUUCAAUUCCUGCCGGGCGCG